CUACAAUGAGGUUUCAUACUCAUUUCUCUUUUCAGGAGGACAAUCAUCCCUUAAAGUAUAAGAAAUAGGAGCAGAAGAUAGUUCAAGAUCAAAAAAGGCCAACAUCACCAAAAAGGCUCUGAUAUUCUAAAGAAACCCUCCAGACUGCCUACCAGGACAUACAGGUACAAUGCAUGGCACAGACAAACAACAAAGCUCAAUAUGCGCUCAUGGCAUCCUGCUAAAUCCACGGCUUGCCUUGAACUCUCAAUCGUCACAAAAAUGUUAAAGCUGGAGAAUGGGACUCCAAACUAAGAGUUGCCUGCUUACGUCCCUCUCCUUAAUGUGCAUCCUGCCAUAAAUUGAUCUGUCCUGGAGACCAUUACAUUCCACUGAGAAUCCUUCAUGAGCCACAAGCAGAACUGUCU
Molecule: long non-coding RNA, 407 nt
Organism: Cavia porcellus (domestic guinea pig)
Lineage: Eukaryota; Metazoa; Chordata; Mammalia; Rodentia; Caviidae
Exons: 4
Source: RefSeq, a predicted model, not a curated record